RNAcentral lists this ribosomal RNA (2904 nucleotides) under Escherichia coli. RNAcentral's name for it is "23S ribosomal RNA". It matches the Rfam family "Bacterial large subunit ribosomal RNA". The record is from RNAcentral. Lineage: Bacteria; Pseudomonadati; Pseudomonadota; Gammaproteobacteria; Enterobacterales; Enterobacteriaceae.
GGUUAAGCGACUAAGCGUACACGGUGGAUGCCCUGGCAGUCAGAGGCGAUGAAGGACGUGCUAAUCUGCGAUAAGCGUCGGUAAGGUGAUAUGAACCGUUAUAACCGGCGAUUUCCGAAUGGGGAAACCCAGUGUGUUUCGACACACUAUCAUUAACUGAAUCCAUAGGUUAAUGAGGCGAACCGGGGGAACUGAAACAUCUAAGUACCCCGAGGAAAAGAAAUCAACCGAGAUUCCCCCAGUAGCGGCGAGCGAACGGGGAGCAGCCCAGAGCCUGAAUCAGUGUGUGUGUUAGUGGAAGCGUCUGGAAAGGCGCGCGAUACAGGGUGACAGCCCCGUACACAAAAAUGCACAUGCUGUGAGCUCGAUGAGUAGGGCGGGACACGUGGUAUCCUGUCUGAAUAUGGGGGACCAUCCUCCAAGGCUAAAUACUCCUGACUGACCGAUAGUGAACCAGUACCGUGAGGGAAAGGCGAAAAGAACCCCGGCGAGGGGAGUGAAAAAGAACCUGAAACCGUGUACGUACAAGCAGUGGGAGCACAGAGCAAUCUGUGUGACUGCGUACCUUUGUAUAAUGGGUCAGCGACUUAUAUUCUGUAGCAAGGUUAACCGAAUAGGGGAGCCGAAGGGAAACCGAGUCUUAACUGGGCGUUAAGUUGCAGGGUAUAGACCCGAAACCCGGUGAUCUAGCCAUGGGCAGGUUGAAGGUUGGGUAACACUAACUGGAGGACCGAACCGACUAAUGUUGAAAAAUUAGCGGAUGACUUGUGGCUGGGGGUGAAAGGCCAAUCAAACCGGGAGAUAGCUGGUUCUCCCCGAAAGCUAUUUAGGUAGCGCCUCGUGAAUUCAUCUCCGGGGGUAGAGCACUGUUUCGGCAAGGGGGUCAUCCCGACUUACCAACCCGAUGCAAACUGCGAAUACCGGAGAAUGUUAUCACGGGAGACACACGGCGGGUGCUAACGUCCGUCGUGAAGAGGGAAACAACCCAGACCGCCAGCUAAGGUCCCAAAGUCAUGGUUAAGUGGGAAACGAUGUGGGAAGGCCCAGACAGCCAGGAUGUUGGCUUAGAAGCAGCCAUCAUUUAAAGAAAGCGUAAUAGCUCACUGGUCGAGUCGGCCUGCGCGGAAGAUGUAACGGGGCUAAACCAUGCACCGAAGCUGCGGCAGCGACGCUUAUGCGUUGUUGGGUAGGGGAGCGUUCUGUAAGCCUGCGAAGGUGUGCUGUGAGGCAUGCUGGAGGUAUCAGAAGUGCGAAUGCUGACAUAAGUAACGAUAAAGCGGGUGAAAAGCCCGCUCGCCGGAAGACCAAGGGUUCCUGUCCAACGUUAAUCGGGGCAGGGUGAGUCGACCCCUAAGGCGAGGCCGAAAGGCGUAGUCGAUGGGAAACAGGUUAAUAUUCCAGUACUUGGUGUUACUGCGAAGGGGGACGGAGAAGGCUAUGUUGGCCGGGCGACGGUUGUCCCGGUUUAAGCGUGUAGGCUGGUUUUCCAGGCAAAUCCGGAAAACUAAGGCUGAGGCGUGAUGACGAGGCACUACGGUGCUGAAGCAACAAAUGCCCUGCUUCCAGGAAAAGCCUCUAAGCAUCAGGUAACAUCAAAUCGUACCCCAAACCGACACAGGUGGUCAGGUAGAGAAUACCAAGGCGCUUGAGAGAACUCGGGUGAAGGAACUAGGCAAAAUGGUGCCGUAACUUCGGGAGAAGGCACGCUGAUAUGUAGGUGAAGUCCCUCGCGGAUGGAGCUGAAAUCAGUCGAAGAUACCAGCUGGCUGCAACUGUUUAUUAAAAACACAGCACUGUGCAAACACGAAAGUGGACGUAUACGGUGUGACGCCUGCCCGGUGCCGGAAGGUUAAUUGAUGGGGUUAGCGGUAACGCGAAGCUCUUGAUCGAAGCCCCGGUAAACGGCGGCCGUAACUAUAACGGUCCUAAGGUAGCGAAAUUCCUUGUCGGGUAAGUUCCGACCUGCACGAAUGGCGUAAUGAUGGCCAGGCUGUCUCCACCCGAGACUCAGUGAAAUUGAACUCGCUGUGAAGAUGCAGUGUACCCGCGGCAAGACGGAAAGACCCCGUGAACCUUUACUAUAGCUUGACACUGAACAUUGAGCCUUGAUGUGUAGGAUAGGUGGGAGGCUUAGAAGUGUGGACGCCAGUCUGCAUGGAGCCGACCUUGAAAUACCACCCUUUAAUGUUUGAUGUUCUAACGUUGACCCGUAAUCCGGGUUGCGGACAGUGUCUGGUGGGUAGUUUGACUGGGGCGGUCUCCUCCUAAAGAGUAACGGAGGAGCACGAAGGUUGGCUAAUCCUGGUCGGACAUCAGGAGGUUAGUGCAAUGGCAUAAGCCAGCUUGACUGCGAGCGUGACGGCGCGAGCAGGUGCGAAAGCAGGUCAUAGUGAUCCGGUGGUUCUGAAUGGAAGGGCCAUCGCUCAACGGAUAAAAGGUACUCCGGGGAUAACAGGCUGAUACCGCCCAAGAGUUCAUAUCGACGGCGGUGUUUGGCACCUCGAUGUCGGCUCAUCACAUCCUGGGGCUGAAGUAGGUCCCAAGGGUAUGGCUGUUCGCCAUUUAAAGUGGUACGCGAGCUGGGUUUAGAACGUCGUGAGACAGUUCGGUCCCUAUCUGCCGUGGGCGCUGGAGAACUGAGGGGGCUGCUCCUAGUACGAGAGGACCGGAGUGGACGCAUCACUGGUGUUCGGGUUGUCAUGCCAAUGGCACUGCCCGGUAGCUAAAUGCGGAAGAGAUAAGUGCUGAAAGCAUCUAAGCACGAAACUUGCCCCGAGAUGAGUUCUCCCUGACUCCUUGAGAGUCCUGAAGGAACGUUGAAGACGACGACGUUGAUAGGCCGGGUGUGUAAGCGCAGCGAUGCGUUGAGCUAACCGGUACUAAUGAACCGUGAGGCUUAACCUU